UACGGAGGGUGCGAGCGUUAUUCGGAAUCACUGGGCGUAAAGGGCGCGUAGGCGGCCGCGCAAGUCUGGUGUGAAAGCCCAGGGCUUAACCCUGGAAGGGCACUGGAAACUGUGCGGCUUGAGUGCCGGAGAGGAGGGGGGAAUUCCCGGUGUAGCGGUGAAAUGCGUAGAUAUCGGGAGGAAUACCAGUGGCGAAGGCGAAAGCGGGUUCCUGGGCCUGUACUGACGCUCAUGCACGAAAGCGUGGGGAGCAAACAGG
Molecule: ribosomal RNA, 259 nt
Filed under: uncultured microorganism
Description: partial 16S ribosomal RNA
Rfam family: Bacterial small subunit ribosomal RNA
Source: RNAcentral